GCGUCGGUGGCGGAGCGGUCAAUCGCAAGGGACUGUAAAUCCCUCGACCUUUGGUCUACGCAGGUUCGAAUCCUGCCCGGCGCACCA
Molecule: transfer RNA, 87 nt
Filed under: bacterium
Lineage: Bacteria
Description: tRNA-Tyr
Rfam family: tRNA
About the family: Transfer RNA (tRNA) molecules are approximately 80 nucleotides in length.
Source: RNAcentral